This 119-nucleotide small RNA is filed under the name Paenibacillus crassostreae. RNAcentral describes it as "Paenibacillus sp. LPB0068 Bacillus sRNA ncr1015". It matches the Rfam family "Bacillus sRNA ncr1015". The record is from Rfam by way of RNAcentral. Lineage: Bacteria; Bacillati; Bacillota; Bacilli; Caryophanales; Paenibacillaceae.
UUGUAAGAUAAGAUAUUUAUGCCUUUUUCAAUUGUUAAAGUCGUGAUCCGAUUAUAUCAUCGUGUCUCUUUAUAUGCAAUAAAAAAGAACCUGGUAAAAAUUACCAUGUUCUUUUUUGA